Molecule: ribosomal RNA, 439 nt
Filed under: Helicobia pilipleura
Lineage: Eukaryota; Metazoa; Arthropoda; Insecta; Diptera; Sarcophagidae
Description: partial 16S ribosomal RNA
Rfam family: Bacterial large subunit ribosomal RNA
Source: RNAcentral
UUUAAAUGGCCGCAGUAUACUAACUGUGCAAAGGUAGCAUAAUCAUUAGUCUUUUAAUUGAAGGCUGGUAUGAAUGGUUGGACGAGAUAUUAACUGUUUCAUAAAAAUUUAUAAUAGAAUUUUAUUUUUUAGUCAAAAAGCUAAAAUUUAAUUAAAAGACGAGAAGACCCUAUAAAUCUUUAUAUAUAGAUUAUUAGAAUUUUGUAGAUUUUUUUUAUUAUAAUAAUUGAUUAUAUUUUAUUGGGGUGAUAUUAAAAUUUAAUAAACUUUUAAUUUUUAAAAACAUUAAUUUAUGAAUUAUUGAUCCAUUAAUAGUGAUUAAAAGAAUAAGUUACUUUAGGGAUAACAGCGUGAUUUUUUUGGAGAGUUCAUAUCGAUAAAAAAGAUUGCGACCUCGAUGUUGGAUUAAGAUAUAAUUUUAGGUGUAGCCGCUUAAAUU